CAGCCGCCACGGUAAUACGAAGGGGGCUAGCGUUGCUCGGAAUGACUGGGCGUAAAGGGCGCGUAGGCGGCGAUCAAAGUCAGGCGUGAAAUUCCUGGGCUCAACCUGGGGGCUGCGCUUGAUACUUGGUUGCUUGAGUGGGGAAGAGGGUCGUGGAAUUCCCAGUGUAGAGGUGAGAUUCGUAGAUAUUGGGAAGAACACCGGUGGCGAAGGCGGCGACCUGGUCCUUGACUGACGCUGAGGCGCGAAAGCGUGGGGAGCAAACAGGAUUAGAUACCCCUGUAGUCCCUGUCUCUUAUAC
This 301-nucleotide ribosomal RNA is filed under the name uncultured bacterium. Its description in RNAcentral is "partial 16S ribosomal RNA". It matches the Rfam family "Bacterial small subunit ribosomal RNA", at positions 509 to 807 of the family's 1533-position model. The record is from RNAcentral.